RNAcentral lists this non-coding RNA (120 nucleotides) under bovine gut metagenome. RNAcentral's name for it is "Moco (molybdenum cofactor) riboswitch". It matches the Rfam family "Molybdenum/Tungsten riboswitch aptamer (Moco RNA motif)", at positions 8 to 125 of the family's 135-position model. The record is from RNAcentral.
CUAAUAACUCCGAGCCUCCUGACCUAAAGCUUUAGCCAUGGUCAUUGGGCCGCAAGUAUACUUGCCGGGGUGCUGACGGAAACGGAUGCGCCUUCCUUAUUGAAAAGGAGUAACAAUGAA